AACGAACGCUGGCGGCAUGCCUAACACAUGCAAGUCGAACGAGACCUUCGGGUCUAGUGGCGCACGGGUGCGUAACGGGGGGAAACCGCCCCUUAGGUUGGAAAAAACUCCCGGAAGGGGGUGCAAAAACCGGAAAAGUUCUCGGGACAAAAUAUUUAUCGCCUUGGAAUGGGCCCGCGUUGGAUUGGCUAGUUGGUAGGGUAAAAGCCUACCAAGGCGACGAUCCAUAGCUGGUCUGAGAGGAUGAUCAGCCACACUGGGACUGAGACACGGCCCAGACUCCUACGGGAGGCAGCAGUGGGGAAUAUUGGACAAUGGGCGAAAGCCUGAUCCAGCAAUGCCGCGUGAGUGAUGAAGGCCUUAGGGUUGUAAAGCUCUUUUACCCGGGAUGAUAAUGACAGUACCGGGAGAAUAAGCUCCGGCUAACUCCGUG
RNAcentral lists this ribosomal RNA (433 nucleotides) under uncultured bacterium. RNAcentral's name for it is "partial 16S ribosomal RNA". It matches the Rfam family "Bacterial small subunit ribosomal RNA", at positions 29 to 507 of the family's 1533-position model. The record is from RNAcentral.